RNAcentral lists this unclassified non-coding RNA (422 nucleotides) under Hevea brasiliensis (rubber tree). The record is from RNAcentral. Lineage: Eukaryota; Viridiplantae; Streptophyta; Magnoliopsida; Malpighiales; Euphorbiaceae.
CUAAUGUCUACCAUAGAGAUUUAAAGCCGAAAAAUAUCUUGGCAAAUGCAAAUUGCAAGCUCAAGAUCUGUGAUUUUGGAUUGGCCAGAGUUGCAUUCAAUGAUACACCUACCACAAUAUUUUGGACGGAUUAUGUAGCUACUAGAUGGUAUAGAGCUCCAGAGUUAUGCGGUUCAUUUUACUCCAAGUAUACCCCUGCAAUUGAUAUAUGGAGCAUAGGCUGUAUCUUUGCUGAGGUUCUUACGGGGAAGCCGCUCUUUCCUGGAAAAAAUGUAGUUCACCAACUGGAUUUAAUGACUGAUCUGCUUGGAACGCCUUCAAUGGAUACAAUUUCUCGUGUGCGUAAUGACAAGGCUAGGAGAUACCUAACUAGCAUGAGAAAGAAGCAGCCUGUUUCUUUUGCUCAGAAAUUUCCAAAUGCU